CUGUCCAGUAGGGACAGGAAAAAAGGAAAAUAAAAGUCUCACAGCAGUGCUUAAGCAGUUCCUCAGGUAGAAAACCUGAGGAACUAAGUGAUUCCUUCUGUGGACAACUGAUACAACAAGAGGACAGGGCUCACCUCAAGUAAGCAAAAAUUUGACAGAACUGAACAGGCCUCCAAGGGUUUUUCCCCUAGCAUUGCCCCUUCUCAAGACAUUGUAGGAUUAAAUAGAGAUUGUUUGAUGGUGCUCUGCCAAGGGAGCAAAGUGGGACCUGCAGUCUUUCAGCUGCCUUGCUGGCAAGUUUCUUCCUCUGGAUAACUAACUUAUAACAAGGAUCAAGGUCCUCUGAUCUGGUUAAACUUCAGAUGGCAAGGCUAUAAAUAAAACCUGAAGCCUGUAACCCAGUGUGGUCAUUGCAGCCAUGAGCCAGGCUCUCCUGCCUCUAAAUAAACAGCUGUCAAGGGUCUAUUUUUCAGGUUAUAUGAUCAGCUGGCUAUGAAAUUAGAUCUAACUAGAUAAAGACCCACCAAGAUUACUCUGCUUCUGAUGAUAUGAAGUCUUGUCACCUUGUACCUGUGCGGACUAGGACCACUGAGUGUCACCAUAGCUCUGUGGCUUGCGCUGCGAGAUGCCGUUUCUCCAGACAAAAAAAUUCCUUUUCUAAAAUGAGUUGGAAC
Long non-coding RNA from Empidonax traillii (willow flycatcher), 674 nucleotides. RefSeq lists it as uncharacterized. The transcript is spliced from 2 exons. NCBI's taxonomy places the organism in Eukaryota, Metazoa, Chordata, Aves, Passeriformes, Tyrannidae. The record is from RefSeq and is a predicted model, not a curated record.